RNAcentral lists this long non-coding RNA (533 nucleotides) under Pan troglodytes (chimpanzee). RNAcentral's name for it is "long non-coding RNA NONPTRT010482". The record is from RNAcentral. Lineage: Eukaryota; Metazoa; Chordata; Mammalia; Primates; Hominidae.
GUUGCAUACCCCCAACCACCACCACUUCUAACACAGGUACUAAUAAUUAGAAAAUACUCACUUACAGAUGCAAUAAUAGCUUUGUUAGAUUAAGGAGAAAAUGAAAGGACAUCCCAGCAGGGAAGCAUGGUCUGUGACUAAGGAGAUAUUUAUGUGGGCAAAAGCAUAUUUUAAUUAAUAAUGUUUUUUUCUGAAUAUAUCAAAUUUUCAACAUUCCCUUUAUUUGAGAAGUAACAAGAGUAUCCCACUUCCAGAAGCAUGGCCCAUGGCUAAAGCAGAAUAGAACACUGCUGCAAUUUAUUUGUUUUCUGUGCAGAUCUAUAAUCCUUCACCUUAUGCACAAGCUCUCAAUGCAUUGCUUUUACUUUUGAUUGAACUGUAAUCUGUGCACAUAAGUAUGUGUGGCUUCUUGAAUUAUCACACACUAAACAUGCCUAUGUAGCCAAAACCCAGGCAAGCAAGUAGGAUGCUUGGAGCCAUACUAUAGAGCAAAAGUCAGCAAACUUUUUCUAUAAAGGGCCAGAUUGUAAAUA